AGAGUUUGAUCCUGGCUCAGAAGGAAUGCUAGCUAUAUGUUUAACACAUGCAAGUCGAAUGUUAUUUUCGAGGAGCUAGGCAGAAGGAAAAGUGGCUCCUAGCUAAAGGUAGCUUGUCUCGGCCUGGAGGUGAGAAGAGUUGAGAACAAAGUGGCGAACGGGUGCGUAACGCGUGGGAAUCUACCGAAUAGUUCGGGCCAAAUCCUGAAGAAAGUUAAAAAGUGCUGUUUGAUGAGCCUGCAUAGUAUUAUGUAGUAUCCAAUGACGCUUAGCUGGUCUUCUCGGACGAUCAGCCACACUGGGACUGAGACACGACCUGGACUCCCACGGGGGCAGCAGUUGGGAAUCUUAGACAAUGUGCAAAAGCCCGAUCUAGCAAUAAAGCGUGGGUGAGGAAGGGCAAUGCCGCUUGUAAAGCUUUUCAUCGAGUGCGCGAUCAUGACAAGACUCAAGAAAGAUACCCCGGCUAACUCCGUGCCAGCAGCCACGGUAAGAAGGGGGGUAAGUGCUCUUCGGAAUGACUGGCGUAAAGGGCAUGUAGGCGGUGAAUCGGGUUGAAAGUGAAAGUAGCCAAAAACUGGCGGAAUGCUCUCGAAACCAAUUCACUUAAAUGAGAAAGAGGAGAGUGGAAUUUCGUGUGUAGGAGUGAAAUUCGAAGAUCUAAGAAGGAAGACCAAAAGCGAAGGAAGCUCUCUGGGACCCUACCGACGCUGGGGUACGAAAGCAUGGGGAGCGAACAAGAUUAGAUACCCUGGUAGUCCAUGCUGUAAAUGAUGAGUGUUCGUCCUUGGUCUAUGCGGAUCAGAGGCCCAGCUAACGCAUGAAAACUCCGCUUGGGGAGUACGAUCGCAAGACCGAAACUCAAAGGAAUUGACGGGGGCCUGCACAAGCGGUGGAGCAUGUGGUUUAAUUUGAUACAACGCGCAAAACCUUACCAGCCCUUGACAUAUGAACAACAAAACAUGUCCUUAACGGGAUUUUCAUAUAUGUGUUGUUGUAUGGCUAUCGUCAGCUCAUAUCGUGAGAUGUUUGGUCAAGUCCUUUAACGAACGAAACCCUUGUUUUGUGUUACUGAGACAUGCGCCUAAGUAGAAAGUCUUUGGGCAGAGAAAGACUCGGCAUUCAGGCGAUCUGCCCGGUGGUGUGGUAUGUAUUGGGUUUAGUACUCCUCGCCAAAACAAAACGGCUACGAAAGAAAGAAAAAGAUGUGUGUUGCACUCACGAAGGACUACUAGUGAUAUACUAGAGGAAGAUGGGGAUGACGUCAAAGAAAAUCCUUGUGUCAGUGGAUCAAAUCCACUUCUAAGCUGGCGAAGGGUCUUUAGACACGUAGCCAGUCUAAAAGAGUUCCUAUUCAUCAAUCAGAAAUCAAGACAAACUGGCACUACGGUGAGACGUGAAAACACCCGAUCCCAUUUCGACCUCGAUAUGUGGAAUCGUCUUGUGCCAUAUGUACUGAGAUUGUUCGGGAGACAUGGUUAAAGCUCAGAUUUCAUGUUCAUUGAAUGAAGAUCGUAGUGUAUAAAGU
This 1528-nucleotide ribosomal RNA is filed under the name Pogostemon cablin (patchouli). Its description in RNAcentral is "bacterial SSU rRNA". It matches the Rfam family "Bacterial small subunit ribosomal RNA", at positions 8 to 1313 of the family's 1533-position model. The record is from RNAcentral. Lineage: Eukaryota; Viridiplantae; Streptophyta; Magnoliopsida; Lamiales; Lamiaceae.